AUCUCUGUAAAAUAAUCAUUUUUUUAACUAGCAGGGCAGUGAAAUCUUUGCUUUGUGCUAAAGUCAACAGUGACUGAGUUUGAGCUCAAAUAAAUGCCGUGAUGUCUGCAGCCCUUUGCAGAAGGCAGCAGGCAUUAAAGCUUCCACAAUGGGCUCCUGCAUGUGUUGGGCUUCACAACAAGCACCGUUUUGCACAGGGCUCUGCUGACUGAAGUGAUCCCGGCGGGCCGAGCGCGGCUGAGGAAGGAGCGGCAGCCUGGCAGGGAAGAUGGGAUCGCGGCGGGGAAGAGCUCCACUGAUGCUGCACACACUCAAACGCAAACACACUCCAGCGCUCACACAAUGUCCCUCUCAGCCGUGGCUUGUGACCGGUCCACGGCAUUGGCCAGAAGACCCGUUGAUGAGCGUGAAAUGAGUCUGGGGCUCAUUGACAGUUCAAGAUGGAGAGCAAACUGAGAUUAGACCGGGUUAAUUAAUUGUGGCCUUGGCAAAAUGUCUUCCCAUCCCGUGGAAGACUUGCUCUGUUUAUUAUCUUCCUGCCAAUCACUACCUAAAUGACAUUUUCAAACUUUAAUCAGUGCUUUCCAUACAUUCAUUUACUCGUGGCGGACAUAUUAUUUUCCACAGAGUUUGG
Nerophis lumbriciformis (worm pipefish) is the source of this 634-nucleotide long non-coding RNA. RefSeq lists it as uncharacterized. Lineage: Eukaryota; Metazoa; Chordata; Actinopteri; Syngnathiformes; Syngnathidae. The record is from RefSeq and is a predicted model, not a curated record.